ACAAAUAAAUUACAAUAUGUACAAAAUUAAUAAAGUCAAAUAAAAGUCAACAUGUACAAGAUAGACUUCUGAUUAUCCCAGCAGAGUUGCAAGAGCUGUCACACCCCUUUUCUACUCCCAAAAGAUAGAAGAUAUGUUGUGGAUCGUGGGUUAAAGAGUUUUUCCAAUUGAAGUGACAAAUUUGAAUAUGGAUUAUUCUAUUGUUCAAAGUCGCUAUUUGGAAUUGAUUUUUUGGGUGUUCCAAGUCACCUUUGUUUGAAUCCCUAGUCAAAUGAAGGUUUGACUAUGUUACUAUUGGUCUGCGAAAAUAAAGUUCGGGUAAGAAAUUAUGUUGACCGGAAAGAAGGUGUAAGGCAUUCUUCGAGUUCCGUGAUUCUAGCACGGUUGCUUUAUUGACUUAAAAUUUGGCUUGAAUUAAUUAUGGACAAACUGUGAUUUAUAUGAUUUUCAUAUUUUUUUAUAUCCACUUUUAUUUGUUUAAAAUAUUUAAAGAAAAGAUUUGAUAAUUUUUAAAUUGUCUAAACCGUACCGCACAAGCGAAUGCACGAUCGUGACAAAACUUAUUAAUUUUGUCAUGACAGCACUACGCAAGCGAUUCUGCAGUACUCAUGACAAGAAUUAUUACUACGUUAUUAAUUUUUUUUGGAAAAAUUAAAAUAUUUGAGAAAAUAAUUUUUUUAUUUUUUUAAAAGCUACUAUGAUGAUACGCAAGCGAGUCCGUAUAAAAAAGGCCAAAACAUGCUUACUAUUUUUCUAGCAUUUUAAAUUAAUUACUAAAGUUAUUAAAUUAUUUUAGUUUUAAAAAAUCUGAUUUUUAUGAAAAUUAACAAGUUUGGAGUGAGCUUUGAAGUAAAAAAUAAAAGGAAAAAGGGGGCAAGCUGCUAACCCAAACCAAAUGCAAGACCAAUUCAAUUCAUUGGAAUGACAAUGAGAAAAUACAAUAACAAUAACAAAAAUAACAACAACAACAACAACAAUAGUGCAGUAUAAUCUUACAAGUAAAGUCUAGGAAAAGUGAUAUAUACGCAGACCAUACCCCUACCCCGAGGGGCAGAGAGGCUGUUUUCAGGAAAUUUUGGCUCAAGAAAGCAAUAAUGAUUUGUUCGUACUAUAUAGACUCAUAUUAAAAUAACAUAAAAUACAUAACAUAACAUAAAAUAAUAAAAUAACAGCAAUAUAAUAAAUAUAAAAGACAAUGAGAAAAUAAUAGUCUAAAAAGCAAAAAUGGCAUGUUAUAUAAGGUGAAAUCCGAUGUGUCGUUCGAACAUUUUCUUUUCCUUUCUUUAAGAAUCAACUGUUAUAAGCCCAUAAUUCCUUUAACCUAAAAGCAAAAUGACAUGGCGCAUGAUCCCAUAUCUAUGUGUAUAUUCAACUUAAACUAGUCUUUUAAACAUGCGAACUCUAAAAUAAAAUUACAUAUGUACACCACUGACUUGCUAAUUGAACAAAAGAAACGAUAAAUAAAUAAAUAAGACCCACUUCACCAUCACAUAUUAUAUGAUAAUAAUUAUGUAUUCUAAACUUAGUAAUGCUCUAAUACUUUAAAACAAACUCUAGAAAAAAUAAAAUUAUAACAUUUAUGAGUUAUGGUGCUCAAAUAGAUCUGGAUAGAAUAUUUUCAAAAGCUCAAAAUAUAAUGAAUGACUCAAGUUGCUUUACUUGCAUUAAUUAUUGAUCAAAAAUUUCAUUAAAUUAAAGGAAUUACCUGGAUAGCAGAAAAAAUAUUAGAGAUGGAUGAACUAAAAUCAGCAGCAGUGACAGCAACAAACAACAAAAAAAAUAACCCAGAAAAUUCAACAAGGAUGCUUGAAACUAGUAGCUAACAACUUCAUGAAUUGCUCAAGGGAUCCUUCUAAUCUUUUUUCAUGAUUUUUACGCUCUAAGAAACACUCACCAAGCUCUCAAUUUUUAGCUUACUAUUUGCUAUUUAGUUCCUGAUUUUUCUCAAAGAUAAGUCUUUUUAGAGUGUAAGAGAUGAUGGCUCAAUUUUUGUUCCUCCCUGAGUAAAAUACAUGUCCUCUUUAUGUAUCAAAACAAACAACUAUUUCAAAAUUAAAAAUCAAUCUUUUUGACACAUUUUUUCACUAAAUAUCUCAAAUUGUGUUAAGUGUUUUAAUCAAAAUCUGCUCUUCAUUGUUCAAAGACAGACUUUUAUUCAAACGCUGCCCAAAAGUCUAUAUUUUCUUACCAAAUAAUUUGACUUUUGAGCGUUGUAGUCAAAAAGUCUUGAAGUAGUAAAUAAACAAACAAACAAGUACCCUAUACUCUCAGGUAUUCUUUACUACCUCACUUUCAUCAACCAAAACUAUUCAAAUACUUCAACAAUUGCAAAAACAGAAAAUCUAGAAGUUCGAACUUCAAAAACUAAUACUAAAAAUAAUUAAUAAGAUACAAAAUAAAAUCUGGAAAAAAAUAGCAACACAAAAAAGAAUAGGAUUUUUACCAUUUUUCAAUUCAAGUGGUUAAUACAAUAGUGAUAUGCCGAGCGAGGGUGUUCGGGGAGGUCACAUGAAUUUGGUCGAAUUUUGGUCGCCGGAUUUUCAGGGUGGAAUUGGCAUCAAUAUUUAGGUCUCGAGUAGCUCUAUCCGUUGAUGUAGGUAUUGUGGGAUGGUAGUGGUGGGAGCUUCAAGAACUUGGGCAAAAAAAUGACGAUUAAGUUUCCUAGAUCUAAGAUUCAAUGAGUUUGAGGGGGUUUGAAGGAUUUGGUUUAGAGGUAUGAAAAGAGGAGGUUGUGGAGAUUAUAUGGUGUGAUUCUGGUGGGAUUUGGAGGAGGUCCCGCAGCCGGUUCUGGCGGCGGCGAAGGAGAGGCGGUGCGAGGAGGCUAGGUUAGAGAGAUGAGAGAGGGUGAGAAGAGAGAGGAAUUUAGGCUUGGUAAAUAGCCAAAAUUUUGAUUUUUGCAGCCUUAUAUACCUAUGAGGAC
RNAcentral lists this long non-coding RNA (2920 nucleotides) under Nicotiana benthamiana. Its description in RNAcentral is "long non-coding RNA (NBEN_LNC007894)". Lineage: Eukaryota; Viridiplantae; Streptophyta; Magnoliopsida; Solanales; Solanaceae. The record is from RNAcentral.